This 823-nucleotide ribosomal RNA is filed under the name Corynebacterium sanguinis. RNAcentral's name for it is "bacterial SSU rRNA". It matches the Rfam family "Bacterial small subunit ribosomal RNA", at positions 62 to 896 of the family's 1533-position model. Lineage: Bacteria; Bacillati; Actinomycetota; Actinomycetes; Mycobacteriales; Corynebacteriaceae. The record is from RNAcentral.
UCGAACGGAAAGGCCACAGCUUGCUGUGGUACUCGAGUGGCGAACGGGUGAGUAACACGUGGGUGAUCUGCCCUGUACUUCGGGAUAAGCUUGGGAAACUGGGUCUAAUACCGGAUAGGAAUCACAUGUGGGUGUGUGGUUGGAAAGCUUUUGCGGUAUGGGAUGAGCUCGCGGCCUAUCAGCUUGUUGGUGGGGUAAUGGCCUACCAAGGCGUCGACGGGUAGCCGGCCUGAGAGGGUGUACGGCCACAUUGGGACUGAGAUACGGCCCAGACUCCUACGGGAGGCAGCAGUGGGGAAUAUUGCACAAUGGGCGCAAGCCUGAUGCAGCGACGCCGCGUGGGGGAUGACGGCCUUCGGGUUGUAAACUCCUUUCGUCAGGGACGAAGCGAAAGUGACGGUACCUGGAUAAGAAGCACCGGCUAACUACGUGCCAGCAGCCGCGGUAAUACGUAGGGUGCGAGCGUUGUCCGGAAUUACUGGGCGUAAAGAGCUCGUAGGUGGUUUGUCGCGUCGUUUGUGUAAGUCCACGGCUUAACUGUGGGAUGGCAGGCGAUACGGGCAUAACUUGAGUGCUGUAGGGGAGACUGGAAUUCCUGGUGUAGCGGUGAAAUGCGCAGAUAUCAGGAGGAACACCGAUGGCGAAGGCAGGUCUCUGGGCAGUAACUGACGCUGAGGAGCGAAAGCAUGGGUAGCGAACAGGAUUAGAUACCCUGGUAGUCCAUGCCGUAAACGGUGGGCGCUAGGUGUGAGUCCCUUCCACGGGGUUCGUGCCGUAGCUAACGCAUUAAGCGCCCCGCCUGGGGAGUACGGCCGCAAGGCUA